Molecule: transfer RNA, 78 nt
Filed under: compost metagenome
Description: tRNA-Asn
Source: RNAcentral
CAGGCUGUAGCUCUGGUUGAGGAAGCGCCCGGUGCUGUUGCUAUCGGUAAUCGCCAGUUCGGCACCGCGCAGCCCGGC